This 253-nucleotide ribosomal RNA is filed under the name uncultured bacterium. RNAcentral's name for it is "partial 16S ribosomal RNA". It matches the Rfam family "Bacterial small subunit ribosomal RNA", at positions 524 to 776 of the family's 1533-position model. The record is from RNAcentral.
UACAGAGGUCCCAAGCGUUGUUCGGAUUCAUUGGGCGUAAAGGGUGCGUAGGUGGCGCCGUAAGUGGGGUGUGAAAUUUCGGAGCUUAACUCCGAAACUGCAUUCCAUACUGCGGUGCUUGAGGACUGGAGAGGAGACUGGAAUUUACGGUGUAGCAGUGAAAUGCGUAGAGAUCGUAAGGAAGACCAGUGGCGAAGGCGGGUCUCUGGACAGUUCCUAACACUGAGGCACGAAGGCCAGGGGAGCAAACGGG